GUCCACGCCCUAAACGAUGUCUACUAGUUGUCGGGCCUUAAUUGGCUUGGUAACGCAGCUAACGCGUGAAGUAGACCGCCUGGGGAGUACGGUCGCAAGAUUAAAACUCAAAGGAAUUGACGGGGACCCGCACAAGCGGUGGAUGAUGUGGAUUAAUUCGAUGCAACGCGAAAACCUUACCUACCCUUGACAUGGCUGGAAUCCCUGAGAGAUUGGGGAGUGCCCGAAAGGGAGCCAGUACACAGGUGCUGCAUGGCUGUCGU
Molecule: ribosomal RNA, 263 nt
Filed under: uncultured bacterium
Lineage: Bacteria
Description: partial 16S ribosomal RNA
Rfam family: Bacterial small subunit ribosomal RNA
Source: RNAcentral